CUAGCGACUUCAGAGUUUGAUCCUGGCUCAGGACGAACGCUGGCGGCGUGCCUAACACAUGCAAGUCGAACGGGGUUACCCUUCGGGGUAACUUAGAGGCGAACGGGUGAGUAACGCGUGAAGAACCUGCCUUUCAGUGGGGGACAACAGUUGGAAACGACUGCUAAUACCGCAUAAUGUUAUUGAGCGGCAUCGCUUGAUAACCAAAGCUUUAUGUGCUGAAAGAUGGCUUCGCGUCUGAUUAGCUAGAUGGCGGGGUAACGGCCCACCAUGGCGACGAUCAGUAGCCGGACUGAGAGGUUGAGCGGCCACAUUGGGACUGAGAUACGGCCCAG
This 335-nucleotide ribosomal RNA is filed under the name uncultured bacterium. Its description in RNAcentral is "bacterial SSU rRNA". It matches the Rfam family "Bacterial small subunit ribosomal RNA", at positions 1 to 334 of the family's 1533-position model. The record is from RNAcentral.